UGAGGAAUAUUGGUCAAUGGGCGCAAGCCUGAACCAGCCAAGUAGCGUGAGGGAAGACUGCCCUAUGGGUUGUAAACCUCUUUUGUGCGGGGAUAAAGUGUGGGACGUGUCCCAUAUUGCAGGUACCGCACGAAUAAGGAUCGGCUAACUCCGUGCCAGCAGCCGCGGUAAUACGGAGGAUCCGAGCGUUAUCCGGAUUUAUUGGGUUUAAAGGGAGCGUAGAUGGGUUGUUAAGUCAGUUGUGAAAGUUUGCGGCUCAACCGUAAAAUUGCAAUUGAUACUGGCAGUCUUGAGUACAGUUGAGGUAGGCGGAAUUCGUGGUGUAGCGGUGAAAUGCUUAGAUAUCACGAAGAACUCCGAUUGCGAAGGCAGCCUGCUAAGCUGCAACUGACAUUGAGGCUCGAAAGUGUGGGUAUCAAACAGGAUUAGAUACCCUGGUAGUCCACACGGUAAACGAUGAAUACUCGCUGUUUGCGAUAUACUGCAAGCGGCCAAGCGAAAGCGUUAAGUAUUCCACCUGGGGAGUACGCCGGCAACGGUGAAACUCAAAGGAAUUGACGGGGGCCCGCACAAGCGGAGGAACAUGUGGUUUAAUUCGAUGAUACGCGAGGAACCUUACCCGGGCUUAAAUUGCAGAUGAAUUACGGUGAAAGCCGUAAGCCGCAAGGCAUCUGUGAAGGUGCUGCAUGGUUGUCGUCAGCUCGUGCCGUGAGGUGUCGGCUUAAGUGCCAUAACGAGCGCAACCCUUGUUGUCAGUUACUAACAGGUUCCGCUGAGGACUCUGACAAGACUGCCAUCGUAAGAUGUGAGGAAGGUGGGGAUGACGUCAAAUCAGCACGGCCCUUACGUCCGGGGCUACACACGUGUUACAAUGGGGGGUACAGAGGGCCGCUACCACGCGAGUGGAUGCCAAUCCCCAAAACCUCUCUCAGUUCGGACUGGAGUCUGCAACCCGACUCCACGAAGCUGGAUUCGCUAGUAAUCGCGCAUCAGCCACGGCGCGGUGAAUACGUUCCC
RNAcentral lists this ribosomal RNA (1017 nucleotides) under uncultured bacterium. RNAcentral's name for it is "bacterial SSU rRNA". It matches the Rfam family "Bacterial small subunit ribosomal RNA", at positions 355 to 1375 of the family's 1533-position model. The record is from RNAcentral.